Heterocephalus glaber (naked mole-rat) is the source of this 375-nucleotide long non-coding RNA. RefSeq lists it as uncharacterized. The record is from RefSeq and is a predicted model, not a curated record. Lineage: Eukaryota; Metazoa; Chordata; Mammalia; Rodentia; Bathyergidae.
GGGGACGGACGGACGUUGACAAUGGCCCCAGAUCCCUCCUUCCCUCACUGGUCUUGGACAGGCCAGGGAGCCCCUCCCUUUCUUCAAAAAGUGAACAGUAGCACCUAAAGUGCCUAGGAAGUUUAAGACCAUGGUGCUGGCAUCUGAUAAAGUCUUCUGGUUGCAUCAUAUCAGGACAGGAAGCAUCACAUGGUUGAUAGGCCCCAACAUGGACCAUUAAAAAUACAUGAAUGCAGAUGGCUGAAUACAAGAACGUCACAGCUGUUCAUCCCAACACUAUUUGCAGGCGCAUGUCCUCAGCUGAGGCACUUUUACCAUGCCAGUUCUGUGUGUGAGCCUGUCAAACAUGGACUGAAACUUCUGAAAGUAUGAGCC